UCAGACGUAAUCUGCCGCAAAAAUGUUGCGGUCUCCGCAAAAUUGGAUAACUUGGCGAAACGCCAAGCUAAUACAUGAAUUAAUGGACGCGUUUCUGUUCCGGCGGUGGGGAAACUCGCCGCCUUGGCGCGUCCGGCGAAUGAAUGAAAGUAAAACCAACGCCUUCACCGGCAGUAACACUUAGAAGUGCUGACUCAAUUCAUUCCGUGCGAAAGCUGGGUUUUUAACCUGGCGUCUUUUGACGAACAACUGCCCUAUCAGCCAGCGAUGGCCGUGUAGUGGACUGCCAUGGCGUUGACGGGAGCGGGGGAUUAGGGUUCGAUUCCGGAGAGGGAGCCUGAGAAAUAGCUACCACUUCUACGGAGGGCAGCAGGCGCGCAAAUUGCCCAAUGUCAAAAAAAAACGAUGAGGCAGCGAAAAGAAAUAGAGCCGAGAGCGCCUUUGGCGUUGUCGUUUUCAAUGGGGGAUAUUUAAACCCAUCCAAAAUCGAGUAACAAUUGGAGGACAAGUCUGGUGCCAGCACCCGCGGUAAUUCCAGCUCCAAAAGCGUAUAUUAAUGCUGUUGCUGUUAAAGGGUUCGUAGUUGAACUGUGGGCCUUUGAGGCGCAUUGGUUUUGUCCCAUCCACUUCGGAUCGGUGACCCAUGCCCUUGAGGUCCGUGAACACACAGAACCAAGAAACACGGGAGUGGUACCUUUUCCUGAUUUUCGCAUGUCAUGCAUGCCAGGGGGCGCCCGUGAUUUUUUACUGUGACUAAAAAAGUGUGACCAAAGCAGUCAGUCGACUUGAAUUA
This 793-nucleotide ribosomal RNA is filed under the name Trypanosoma anguiformis. Its description in RNAcentral is "SSU rRNA". It matches the Rfam family "Eukaryotic small subunit ribosomal RNA", at positions 106 to 802 of the family's 1831-position model. The record is from RNAcentral. Lineage: Eukaryota; Euglenozoa; Kinetoplastea; Trypanosomatida; Trypanosomatidae.